GACGAACGCUGGCGGCGUGCUUAACACAUGCAAGUCGAACGGAAAGGCCCUGCUUUCGUGGGGUGCUCGAGUGGCGAACGGGUGAGUAACACGUGAGUAACCUGCCCUUGACUUUGGGAUAACUUCAGGAAACUGGGGCUAAUACCGGAUAGGAGCUCCUGCUGCAUGGUGGGGGUUGGAAAGUUUCGGCGGUUGGGGCUGGACUCGCGGCUUAUCCGCUUGUUGGUGGGGUAGUGGCUUACCAAGGCUUUGACGGGUAGCCGGCCUGAGAGGGUGACCGGCCACAGUGGGACUGAGAUACGGCCCAGACUCCGACGGGAGGCAGCAGUGGGGAAUAUUGCACAAUGGGCGGAAUCCUGAUGCAGCAACGCCGCGUGGGGGAUGACGGCCUUCGGGUUGUAAACCGCUUGCGCCUGUGACGAAGCGUGAGUGACGGUAAUGGGUAAAGAAGCACCGGCUAACUACGUG
RNAcentral lists this ribosomal RNA (468 nucleotides) under uncultured bacterium. RNAcentral describes it as "partial 16S ribosomal RNA". It matches the Rfam family "Bacterial small subunit ribosomal RNA", at positions 28 to 507 of the family's 1533-position model. The record is from RNAcentral.